GGCCUUGUAGCUCAGUUGGCUAGAGCGUUGGUUGUACUAAAUCCUUCCCCUUGCUGGCGUUGAUUCAAAUCCCACCGAGGCCG
Molecule: transfer RNA, 83 nt
Filed under: Schistocephalus solidus
Lineage: Eukaryota; Metazoa; Platyhelminthes; Cestoda; Diphyllobothriidea; Diphyllobothriidae
Rfam family: tRNA
About the family: Transfer RNA (tRNA) molecules are approximately 80 nucleotides in length. Their secondary structure includes four short double-helical elements and three loops (D, anti-codon, and T loops).
Source: Rfam by way of RNAcentral